This 487-nucleotide ribosomal RNA is filed under the name uncultured bacterium. RNAcentral describes it as "bacterial SSU rRNA". It matches the Rfam family "Bacterial small subunit ribosomal RNA", at positions 501 to 987 of the family's 1533-position model. The record is from RNAcentral.
CUACGUGCCAGCAGCCGCGGUAAUACGUAGGGUGCGAGCGUUAAUCGGAAUUACUGGGCGUAAAGCGAGCGCAGACGGUUACUUAAGCAGGAUGUGAAAUCCCCGGGCUCAACCUGGGAACUGCGUUCUGAACUGGGUGACUAGAGUGUGUCAGAGGGAGGUAGAAUUCCACGUGUAGCAGUGAAAUGCGUAGAGAUGUGGAGGAAUACCGAUGGCGAAGGCAGCCUCCUGGGAUAACACUGACGUUCAUGCUCGAAAGCGUGGGUAGCAAACAGGAUUAGAUACCCUGGUAGUCCACGCCCUAAACGAUGUCAAUUAGCUGUUGGGCAACUUGAUUGCUUAGUAGCGUAGCUAACGCGUGAAAUUGACCGCCUGGGGAGUACGGUCGCAAGAUUAAAACUCAAAGGAAUUGACGGGGACCCGCACAAGCGGUGGAUGAUGUGGAUCAAUUCGAUGCAACGCGAAGAACCUUACCUGGUCUUGACAU